Molecule: ribosomal RNA, 458 nt
Filed under: uncultured bacterium
Lineage: Bacteria
Description: partial 16S ribosomal RNA
Rfam family: Bacterial small subunit ribosomal RNA
Source: RNAcentral
CCUACGGGAGGCAGCAGUGAGGAAUAUUGGUCAAUGGGCGAGAGCCUGAACCAGCCAAGUCGCGUGAGGGAGUACUGCCCUAUGGGUUGUAAACCUCUUUUGUCGGGGAGCAAAAGCCGGACGUGUCCGGCUGUGAGAGUACCCGAAGAAAAAGCAUCGGCUAACUCCGUGACAGCAGCCGCGGUAAUACGGAGGAUGCGAGCGUUAUCCGGAUUUAUUGGGUUUAAAGGGUGCGCAGGCGGAUUUUUAAGUCAGCGGUAAAAUCGUGGGGCUCAACCCCAUCCAGCCGUUGAAACUGGGGAUCUAGAGUGUGCGAGAGGUAUGCGGAAUGCGUGGUGUAGCGGUGAAAUGCAUAGAUAUCACGCAGAACCCCGAUUGCGAAGGCAGCAUACCGGUGCACAACUGACGCUCAGGCACGAAAGCGUGGGUAUCGAACAGGAUUAGAUACCCCGGUAGUC